UACGUAGGGUGCGAGCGUUGUCCGGAAUUAUUGGGCGUAAAGGGCUCGUAGGCGGUCUGUCGCGUCGGGCGUGAAAACUCAGGGCUUAACCCUGAGCCUGCUUCCGAUACGGGCAGACUAGAGGUAUGCAGGGGAGAACGGAAUUCCUGGUGUAGCGGUGAAAUGCGCAGAUAUCAGGAGGAACACCAGUGGCGAAGGCGGUUCUCUGGGCAUUACCUGACGCUGAGGAGCGAAAGCAUGGGGAGCGAACAGG
This 253-nucleotide ribosomal RNA is filed under the name uncultured bacterium. RNAcentral describes it as "partial 16S ribosomal RNA". It matches the Rfam family "Bacterial small subunit ribosomal RNA", at positions 524 to 776 of the family's 1533-position model. The record is from RNAcentral.